AGCGCAGGCGGGAAGGUAAGUCGGUCUUAAAAGUGCGGGGCUCAACCCCCGUGAUGGGAUCGAAACUAUCUUUCUUGAGUGCAGGAGAGGAAAGUGGAAUUCCUAGUGUAGCGGUGAAAUGCGUAGAUAUUAGGAGGAACACCAGUGGCGAAGGCGACUUUCUGGACUGUAACUGACGCUGAGGCUCGAAAGCCAGGGGAGCGAAG
Molecule: ribosomal RNA, 206 nt
Filed under: uncultured bacterium
Lineage: Bacteria
Description: partial 16S ribosomal RNA
Rfam family: Bacterial small subunit ribosomal RNA
Source: RNAcentral